Saimiri boliviensis boliviensis (Bolivian squirrel monkey) is the source of this 713-nucleotide non-coding RNA. The record is from RefSeq and is a predicted model, not a curated record. Lineage: Eukaryota; Metazoa; Chordata; Mammalia; Primates; Cebidae.
GUUGGAGAGGGUUUCUAGCAGAUCUUCAGCUCGGUGCCAAGGUAAAGAAGGGCUCUGCCUCUUGCUGGACACUCGUGCUGGGCUGGGACCUCCUGAGUAGCUGGAACGGCAGGUGUGGGCCAACACGUCUGGAUAAUCACAGCUGGCUUCUCAAUAUUGCUGUUUGAUGCGAUCCUGACCAGUGCAACUGUGGGAUGCCUCCUGCUCGGUGCACUUGGAGAGGCCUUGCUGGUUUUCUCGGAGCGGAAGGGGUCCUGAAGAAGACAGCCAAGAGGAUACUCACAGCCUGCGGCGGGAGAACGUCACCCCGGCCUCAUCGCUCCCUGUUGAGUGUGUCAGAAAGAGGAACGAAAGGACAGUGAGGCCAGGUGGGCAGCGCCAUCGCCCCCACCCAAAUGAAUAUGGUGUUGGCUGAUGAGGCCGAGGCCCUGCUGCUUCCAGGAGCGCCCUUUCUGGGGGUCUGCAGGCUGUUGCAGAGGAGCUGUCUGUUCUGUCUUCCCAUUUGGAGAACCUCUCUCAACCGUGCUGUAGCUGGUUCUGCAGAAACAGGAAGUACAGGAUUUCACGGGCUGGCUCUGCUUGCCUUGACUGAGUGUCAGGCCUGUGGAUACCAGCCGCUGUCUCCCAAACAUGGCUUUCGGUGCGAGGUAGAGGGCCUGAGGGGUUUGGUUGUCAAUUUUUUUUUUCAUUUAUAAAGUUUUAAAUUUUUAAAA